UCUAAUACCGGAUAUGACCGUCUUGGGCAUCCUUGAUGGUGUAAAGCUCCGGCGGUGCAGGAUGAGCCCGCGGCCUAUCAGCUUGUUGGUGAGGUAAUGGCUCACCAAGGCGACGACGGGUAGCCGGCCUGAGAGGGCGACCGGCCACACUGGGACUGAGACACGGCCCAGACUCCUACGGGAGGCAGCAGUGGGGAAUAUUGCACAAUGGGCGAAAGCCUGAUGCAGCGACGCCGCGUGAGGGAUGACGGCCUUCGGGUUGUAAACCUCUUUCAGCAGGGAAGAAGCGAGAGUGACGGUACCUGCAGAAGAAGCGCCGGCUAACUACGUG
RNAcentral lists this ribosomal RNA (331 nucleotides) under Streptomyces sp. GT2. Its description in RNAcentral is "bacterial SSU rRNA". It matches the Rfam family "Bacterial small subunit ribosomal RNA", at positions 162 to 507 of the family's 1533-position model. The record is from RNAcentral. Lineage: Bacteria; Bacillati; Actinomycetota; Actinomycetes; Kitasatosporales; Streptomycetaceae.